UAGGAGCACUUGUCCUAUCAAGUUGUUUUGAAUGAUCGAAACUUCAAAUUGAUAAUCGGCACCGUUCAAAUUGAUCUACAUAAUUAGAAAUGUUUAGAAACCAAAUUUUAUAAUAUUUAAAAAUUAUUAUCAAGUUCAUCUUAAGAGUUAAAAAAUGAACGGUAAUAAAUGAAUAAUCUUCUUAAAAUAGAGAUUAGACUUUCUCAAUUCAUAAUCAGAGUUAUCAAACAUUAUCUAAAUAAUAUAAAGAAUUUUCUAUCAAAAAUUUAAGCAAUUUGGAUUGCUCUACACCGUUAAACAAGCAAACGGCUCAUAUAGGCCGUCAAAAAUUGUCGAUUUUACGACACUUUGAUCACCAUGUAAAUAAUUUUUAAAAUUUAUGAAAUUUAGUUUCUAGAUAUUUCAAAUACUCUAGAUCAACUUCAACAGCUCCGAUCAUCAAUUCGGAAUCUCUAUCAUCAAGAACCAUUUGAUAAGACAAGUGCUACUAUCCUAUUAAUAGGAUAGUAGCUCUAGCCUAUAUAUAUAUAUAUAUAUAUAUAUAUAUUAAUAUAUAUAUAUUAAACCAAUCCUAUUAAUUUAUUAAAUUAUAUUUGUACAGGACCUCCCCCGAUUUUAUGGAGUUGGGGGCCCAUAAUAUUUUUUUUAAUAUUACUCCCUAUCACCCUAAAACACACACACACUCUCUCUCUCUACGUCGUGGCCCCCCCCAUCCCGCAUUGCUCUUUUAUCCCUCUCUCUCCCCCUACUCUCCCUCUCCAUCCACAGCUCUCUCUCUUCUUCUCUCUCUCCUAUCUCUCUCUGCUCUCCUCUCUCUCCUCCUUCUCCUCUCUCUUCUCCGGCUCUCUUCUUUCCCCCCCUCCCUCUCUCCAUCCACGAGCAAUCACCGGCACCCGCGGUGCAGGUGCGACGACCCGCCGGCGGGUGCGGACUGGUCCUCCCCCCCCCCUCCUCUUUCCUUUUUCCUUUCCCCCCCUCCCCGCCUCCCGCUUUCCCCUCUCUCUCGCACCCAACUCCCUUCCUCCCCUCUCUCUUCCUCUCCCUCCCCCGCUCUCUCUCUCUCUCUCCCCCUCCUCCAUUCUUACUGCGACGGCUGCCGAGCGAGAGCGGCGGCGGGGGCGCGCGGUGCGUCCGCGCACUGGGCGCAGGCGACGCUCGCUGGGCCGAGCCGUGGCGAGAGGGUCGCGAGGGAGGCGGGGCGGGGCGCGGCGGCGCUGGGUGCGCCGCAUGAAGUUUCUUCUCUCUCUCUCGCCCCCCCUCUCUCUCUCUCUCUGCUUUCUGCUCGUCUCUCAUCUCUCUCUCUCUAUAUAUAUAUAUAAUAUAUAUAAUCUUUUAUUUAAUUAUAUAAUCGAUCCAAGGAAUUCGAAAGGGAUUCGAACCCGUCUUUUUUUUUUUCUGUGGGUUGUGGGCAUAACAACCAAUUAUAACAAAGAAGUAUUUAUUAUUUAUUUAUAAAAUAUAUAUUGAUUAACUUAUAAUAUUUAUUUAUAAUAUAGAAUAUAUUAUUAAUAUAAUAUUUAUUAUAUAACUACGAUUUCAUUUUUAUAAUUUUUAUUUAAUUCAUAGUACUUAUAAUAUAUAUAUAAUUUUAUUUCUAAAUAUAUAUUUAGUUAAUAUAUAUAGUAUUAUAUUUUUAUAAUAUGGAUAUAUUAUUAUAUAAUAAUUUAUUAUAUAAUAUACUACUUUAUAGAGGAUUUUAAAUUUCUGAAUAAUAUUGUAAAAUGUGCACUCCUAAUAGAGUGUGCCAAUAGUAUUAUUCAAAAAUUAUAAUAGUGGAAACUGAAAAAAUUCAUGUUAGAAACGAAAGGUGCAGCUUUAUUCAAAAUAAAAAUAAUUUUUCUUAAAAUAUGCUAUAUCAGUUUGUGCUAGUGUUAAAUCCUACUUCCAAACCAAAUCAAAACCAAAUAAAAUAAAUUUGUUCAAUCUAUAUGCUACCUACGAAAUCGAAUUUAUUGUCGUUUGGUCCUCAGUUUGCAUCCAAACUUGAACACACCAACUUUUUUCCCCUUUUCCCCCUCUUUUUUAAUUCUUUUUGUUUUGUUCAGAAUAAUCUUAGAUCACAUUCAAAAAAUAAAAAAUUUAAUUUAAAAUUUAAAAUUUAAUUUUAAAUUAAAAAUUAAAUUUUAAAGCGAAUAUCCUUUGAUAUUACUGACUUUACAAUUUAUGUGCUAUUUACUAUAUAAUUUAAAAUUUUUAAAAAUUUACAUAGAUUUCCCGCUGCGUAGCGCGGGCCUUUACUAGUAUCAUUAAAGGGUGAACCCUUAACCCUUUUGCUGCGUUCUCCGUGAUUUCGGGUCUCUCCCUUAACCCCUUUCCUGCGUUCUCCGCGAUUUCGGACCUCCCGCACACAGUGCUCUCUGAGAUGUGGGGCCCUACUCUCUCUUACUCUCUCUCAUUUUCUCUCUCUGAGAUGUGGGGCCCUAUUCUUCUCCACACGCUAUGGUCUCCUACGAUGCCACUCUCCCUUACCCUCUCUCCUUCUCAACGAACCCUAACCCUCUCUCCCUUUCUUUUCUCGCCACCUCUGCAGAUUUCUCGGGAUUCCUCUGCCCCUCUCAACAAACCCUAGGUUUGCCUAGGGUUGGUACUCCGGCGCCGCUGUAAGGACUGAGAUUUUUACAGUGCAAAUAAACUCUCUGUUGAUGAUGUUUAUGUGUGUAAUUUAAUUACAUAAGCACUCGUCAAGUUUCAAGAGAAAAUGAGUUAGAACGGAGAAGUUACACGAUUUUUAAAUUUCACUUAAGUGAAUAGUAACUCCGGUUUUUCGAAGAGGCCAAUGCGUGAAGUAGGCUUCUGGCGCGUAUCGGACUCCGUUCAUAGCGAUCCAAUAGCUCGUUUCGAACGGUUCAGCUAUUCUGGAACCAAUGGCACUGACGGAUUUCAGAUCCGAUGCACGAUUUUCGAGAAAAAUGAGUUUUAACAAAAAGAGGGUUUCCGCUCUUUGCUAUUCGUGCAUUUUAAAACUCCUCGUGCUUUGUAUAAGUGAUUUAGAGAUGGGUGAGAGAUGUUUCAAGUACCUACUGGUGGUAGGGAAUUCAAAUACGAGUUUGAAUUAAUGGAUUUCGGGUUUCCACCAAGGCCUAUGUGUGAUAUAUGGAUUAGUUGGAGAGAGGUCGGAUUUUGUCGCAAAUCGGCAAGCAAAUCGGAUGAAACGAAAUCGUAGUUUCGAUGCCCCCGUCGUGCUGAACGCGAUGGCACUGUCGGAUCGAAAAUCCGACGGACGGAUUUUCGGGAAACGCGAAAUGUUCACUGAGGGGUCGAAGGUGGCAAAUCGGAAACUUCGCAAAAGUCAUUGUAUUUUAUGUACCGAAUCGCUUGAGAUCGAGCGUGGUGGUGCGUAUGCGCAAGUUACGCGCAAUGGCAGGGACUAAAUUAUAAAAAUAGGGCUGAGGUGGGUUUUUCUGUAAUUGUACAUAUAUCAUAGAGUUAGGUCACCAUGAAACCCUAACCCUGGGUCCCCUCCUCUUCCUUAACCGCCUCCCUCACGUUCCCCUGCUCUCCCUGCGCGCGCCCCGGCCACCUGAGCACGCCGCCGGCCGCCGGAGCUGGCCGCUCUUCCACCUCCUCCAUCACCUUCCACACUUUUCUUUCCACCCUCCUCAGCCACCGAGCUCGGGAAGGCACCUAAACCUAUGAAACCAUCUUCCCUUGGCCGAGAUCCAUCUCCGGUGUCGUUCCCGCCGGUCGCCGCCGCCCCCGAGGUCGCCGGCCGCCGCUUCUGCUCUCUGCGCCCGCCCAGACCCGGAGCGGGCCGAGCUUGAGGCCGCAGCGCCUCCGCGCGUCGCCGCCGUCCACCAUCGGGCGCGCCACCUUCCCCUCGACCUCCGGCGCCGUCGCCGCCGUUCCCCGCCGUCCAUGUUGGCUAUGGUGCCGCCUGGACUCGCCGCAGCCGCCCAGACCCGGAGCGGGCCGAGCUUGGGAGAUCUCUGCCUCCGCGCGCCUCCGCCCCUCCCUGCCGGCAGUGCCGCCCUCCAGACACCUCCGGAGACCUCCGGCGUGUACCCCCGGACGUCCCCGACCUGCCCCGGCCGCCGCCGUGGCCGCAGCACCCCUCGGACCCGUGCCCUAGCUCGUGCGGGCAUGCCUUGUUCCGCCGCCGCCUCCGCCGCUUCCAGCCGCCACCCGAGGUGAGCUUGGUACUCCUCACCUCCCCCGCAACCUUCCCUGGCCCGCGCGCAAAAAGAGUAAAAAUGACAAAUUACCUCAUUAAUUAAUUAGAGUUAAGUAUUUAAUCUAUGGUUAACUAAAAUUUUCUAAUGGAUCAUAACAGUAGGAAGAUAUUUGAAAAUAUUAGAACUUACAGGAAUAAUAUAUAAAAAUUAAAGUUUGUAGAAAAAUAUUUGUAAUUUACUAUAUUUGUAGGGACCUAUAUGCAAUUAAUCCAAAAAAAUAAAUAAAGAUGAAUGUCACCGUACAUAUUUAGCUAUUUUGGUCAAGGGGGUCUCUUAUCCUGCCCACUUCCUCAAGCAAUUUGGAUUAAUUUGUACUUUUAACAUAUAAAUAAUAUAUAUUAAUAUAAAGAGUGAGGCUACUAUACUUCUGGAAGCACGAAGCCUUCCGUGCUUCCAGCUCGUUUUAGAUGUUUCGACUUUUGAAUCGUCGAUCAGCUCCGUUAAACUUGAUCUAGAGUAUUUGAAGUACUUGAAAAAUAAAUUUUAUUAUUUUUCGAUAUCAUUUGCCUAAUGACUCACUCUUUAUAUUAAUAUAUAUUAUUUAUAUGUUAAAAGUACAAAUUAAUCCAAAUUGCUUGAGGAAGUGGGCAGGAUAAGAGACCCCCUUGACCAAAAUAGCUAAAUAUGUACGGUGACAUUCAUCUUUAUUUAUUUUUUUGGAUUAAUUGCAUAUAGGUCCCUACAAAUAUAGUAAAUUACAAAUAUUUUUCUACAAACUUUAAUUUUUAUAUAUUAUUCCUGUAAGUUCUAAUAUUUUCAAAUAUCUUCCUACUGUUAUGAUCCAUUAGAAAAUUUUAGUUAACCAUAGAUUAAAUACUUAACUCUAAUUAAUUAAUGAGGUAAUUUGUCAUUUUUACUCUUCUUAUAUUAUACUUUCUUCUCUCAAUCAAAACCCUAGCAAUGAAAAUUCUUCUUCUUUCUCUUCCUCUCUCUACUUCAUGGUAAUUUCGAACUUAUAACUAGAAUUUCUCAAUCUCCAUUCAUCCAAGAUGCGUGGUGCUUUGCCCAUAUCAAAUGCGUGUUGCUUUCCCCAUUUAAUUUUCUCUAUAAUCUUUUUCUCAAAAAAAGAUUUAGAAAAAAAAGAGUGAGAAAAAAGUUGCAAUAAUAGUGAAAUGGGUUGGAUUUUAAAAAGAAAGAAGAUGAGGAAGAAGAUGACCAUUGAAAAUUUUUUGAGGGGACAUUUCUGUACGAUUAUAGCUAUUGUGGCUUUUGAAGGAAUAAAUUUAUGAUGGCAAAAUUAAUAUUUCACUUAUCUGCUAUUAAAAUAUAAACAGUUCUCUAACGAUAACAAACCAUAGUGUCAUAUUUAAAAAUAUUAAAACUUUUGUAGAAACAACGUAUAAAAGUUGAACUUUAUAAGACAUUAUUUACAAUUCACUAUAAUUGUAGGGACCUAUAUCCAAUUAACCCUAUUUUCUUUAUUGAAACUCCUUUAAUAUUGGAAUAAUAUCUAAUAUAGCCUUCAAAAUUUUUAAAAUAUCUAAUAUGCCCCUCAUUGACCAAAAUUCCCCAAUUAAUUUUCAGAAGUUCCUUCAAAUGCCCCAAAAUCCUAGGUUUACUAAUAGUGUAUUGGGUUUAGAAGGGUAUUUUGAAAAUAGAAGAGUAAAUUUAAAAAUUAGUCUGUAAGCAAAAGCCGUUUUCUUACUAAUUAAUUAAGCUAAAUUUUUUGUUAAAUUUUAUGGCUCAAUUAACUAUUUGUUGUUAACUAAUCCAAUUGUAUUCUCCAGAAAGUAUUUUAAACUACUAAAUUUUGACAGAAUUGUUGAUUAAUUUGGUAAAAUUUUCAAGUAUAUUUGGCUAAAGUCACUUGAUUCUAACAAAUUGAAAGUUGAUUGGGUCCUAGUUAGAAAGUAAAAUAAUCGAGGUGCCCAUUUCAAAAUGGACUAUACUUGACGGGGUCUCCAUCCAUUUUUACCUUUUCAUUUACUAAAAUACUGCAUUUACACUCCAUAUAGUUGGGCCCUUGCCUUGUCAAAAUUUUCUUUUUUUUUUUUAGCGUUAAUUUCAUACAGGUCACGUCCCUGCAAAUUAGUGAAUUGCAGAUAUAUUCUUGCAAAGUUCAACUUUCAUAAGUUAUCCUUGCAAAAAUUCUAAUGUAUUCAGAUAUGUCCCUCUGGUUAGCAUCCAUUAGAGAAUUGUUUAUUUUUUAAUAGUAGGUUUAUAAAAUAAUAUUUUUGCCCUCGUAAAUAUGCUCCUCAAAAAACCCUCUCAAUUUUUGCUAUUUUCCUCUUUCUCUUCCUUCUUGGGCUGCGGGAGGAGCGGGCGGCGGCGGCGGCAGCAGCGGCGACGACGUUGCAGAGCUUAUCAGUGUUGCGGCCAACGAGGACGAGGCUGAGGCCCACAGCGGCGAGGCAGAAGGCAAAGAUGCGGCUGAUUCGGAAGCGCUCGUGACAACGGCCCACGCGAGCACGACGUUUGGAUCAUCAAUGACGACGACGACGACGAAAAAGGAGGAGGAGAAAAAAGGGAGGAUGUGAAGAAGAAGAGGAAGAAGAAGAAGCAGAAGAGGAAGAGGAAGAGGAAGAGAAAGAGAAAGAGGAAGAAGAAGAAGAUGAAGAGGAAGAAGAAGAGGAAGGGGAAGAAUAAGAAGGGUAAAUUAUUAAUUCAUCUUAUUAAUUAAUUAUGGUUAAGUAUUUUAACUGUAGUUAACUAAAUUUCUCUAACGGAUACUAACGGCGGGACAUAUCUGAAUACAUUAGGACUUUUGUAGGGACAACUUAUAAAAGUUGAACUUUGUAGAGAUAUAUCUGCAAUUCAUCAUGUUUGCGGGGACCUGUAUGAAAUUAACCCUUUUUUUAAUACUAAAGGCACAUAGAAUUUUUAAAUCCUGUAAUGUGGGGUGUAAAUCAUUCAGAAUUUUAAAAAUUUUUUAAAUCUUUGGAUGGAAAGUGUAAAUCAUAAAACCUCUUUGGGGUGUACAAAUAGCACUUCCCAUUUAUUUAUAUUGAAAGUGCAAAUUUGUCCUAGUUACCAAUGUUUUAAAAAAUCGGGUCGAACAACAAUCCGAAAAGUAUUACUAGGUCAGGAUUCACUGGUUCAGCUGGUGAUUGAACCAUUGGUUGAACUAGCUAGUGACGCCAGCAUGGCGUUAUAAAUAUUUAAUUAUUUUUAAAUUUUUAUUGUGUGUGUAUAUCUAUAUAUGUGUUAUAUAUAUAUAUAAUUCUAGUAUCAUAUUUAAUUAUAAAAUACUAUUUUUUAGAUCAAACUAAGUAGAUACAAGUUUCAGGUUUUAUUUUUCAUAAUCGAAAAUAAAAUCAGGAAAAAUUAAUUAUAAAUACAAUUAAAAAUUACACUAAUGAACAAAAAAAAAAAAAACUAAGCCAGCUUGUUCAGAACCAGGUUGGCCGCCGGUGGCCGGCCGGAGCAAGCUUGCUCCGGCCAAGCCCGAAAUAGGGCUUAGUUGAGUAGGUUACUGUUCCGAGCAACCCGAGCCUCCCCGAUCUCUGCGGAAGGGAGCACGGUGAUCGUAGCAAAUUGCUGAUCAUCGUGCUCACCUUAGAUUCUACCGGGGAGACUGCGUUCCACUGUUUCGGCGGUGUCGACCCUGUUGAGCUUUUUCGGCUGCUAUUCCGUGCUUGCGCACGUUUCUCCGGCGAUCCGAGGCUGUUAUGAUGCCUCCGAAGGUGAGCACGGUGAUCGUUGGUCAGUUCUGAUCACAGUGCUCACCUUACUUUGGAUCAGCGGAUGUCGUAUCGGCCUGUUCGGCGUGAUUUUCCCCUAUUGCGCGCUGUUCGCUGAACCUUCGGGUUGCUCCCGCGCUUUCCACAGUGAGCAAUUGUGCUCUAGAUCAUGAGCACGGCCUCCGGUACAUCGAGACCUGUCAGUACGUGUCUCAGCGGACCUUGGAAGUCCUCAGUUUGCGUGAACGAGCCAUGUUAUUGCCCGAUUUACAUAAAAUAUUGGGAUUUUAUGUAAAGUGAGGGGCUUUUGUGCAAUUGUGCAUUAUGUGGCUUCUGUGGGCAGUGUAUAGGCGUGUGUGGUGACCUCUGGACUGAUUGUCCAUGAUCUGUUAGCUUUUGCGGAAAUCGAAGAGUCGAUUUCGAUGCGUUUUUCGGCGAAAUUCGCCGAAAGAACGCGAUUUCGGCUUGGAUUUCUUCCGACGUCGUUUGGUUGCUCUGUGAGUAGUCACUAAGCCUUGUUGGCUGGUCACCAUCAUCACAUUGUGGGUUUGGUGAUGACGGGUGAGCGACGGUGGGUUCCGGUGUCGAAAUAGACACUUUCGGGAACUCAGAUUCGUACAAUUAUCCGACGAUAAUUGUGUAGUGGUGUUAUCUUGUGUUUGCUGCCAAAACAUCCAAAUUGGAAUGUUUUGGGGCAGCAGGUGACUCGUAGUAUGAGUUGGUGCGUUCCGGGACAGUCGUGGGUCCCGACGGAGUCUCGGUGCGAUUUCGGGACUUCCGGCGAGUUACGGUAAUCGGUUUUGGGAAAUCGAUAUCCGUGGGUUUUAGUUUGUGGGGUUGUAGAUUCAGCGUUUAUUGUUUGUAGGUUGGACACUAACCCAGUGGACCCUCCUUAGGUCCGGUUGACGUUCUUUUGCAGUCAGGAGACAGGUGCGACACACGUACAGGUGGGUACUUCGAUCCGACGUCGGUACAGUGGUGCACGCUCGGUGAUGGUUUCUUACCUUUGUUCUCUCGUUAUUAUCUGGCAUAUAUAUAUUUUGAUAUAUAGUGUUGAGCCUAGCACCCACGUUGUUUGGUUAUACUCUACUCAGAUGUUUCCAUGCUUAGUAUCAUGUGUAGGAGUAUAGUCUAUCUGUAUGUGAUACCAUGUUUUCUUGUUGCUCUACUUAGCUAUCCUGCAUAUCCUGUUUCAUGUUUAGAGUAGAGCGGUUUCGUGAUUUCCUGUGAGAUCGGUGACCUAGUCGGUCGGUUCCUUGACUUCUGUCGUUUGAUGACCUUUGAGGUCGGUGUACCCUGAGGGGUCGGAUUGUCGGCUAGUGGCCGACGGUGGUUCUAGAUUAUAUACUCAGAUGACUUGUUGAUCGAUUUUUGCAUAUAUACAGUAGUUGACUUAUUGAUCAGUAUCUACAUACUUUUGGUAGGAUGUUGAGUUGUUCCAUCCUAGUUGACUUGAUUAGUCAGUACUUACAUACAGUUGAGAGGAUGUCGAUGUUGUCCCAUCCUAGUUGACCUGAGUGGUCGGUUCUUGUGCUUCCUUACAGUUGAUGGCCUAUACGGUCGGUGUGCCCUGAGGGGCUGGAUUGUCGGCUAGUUGCCGAUGGAAGAUCUUUGAGCAUACUACAUUGAUCGCCACUGCAGGUACGCAUUUCACGAACACCAGCGGUCUGAUCCACCGCAAGAGGGUGUUCUUUUCCGGAAAAGUGGUUGGAUUGCCAACCCGUGAGCCCAGGGGCUUUAUUGCGAGGGUAUAUGCUUCUAACCCAGGGGCUUCAUUGCGAGGGUCAAGUACUAUGCUUCUGACCCAGGGGCUUCAUUGCGAGGGUCAGGUAUAGGUUGAGCAGUGUGGCGUGGGCCUGAGGUCUUCGGACCAAUAGGGCAGCGAGAUUGGGUACUUUUGAGAUUAUCGUCAGUUGACGCAUAUGUUUAUAGUAGCAGUCGUUGCAUGCAUAUUUACAGUUCUUACUUUAUAGUUGUCUUGCUACUAUAGNUUGUUGCUUUUAAAAAUAUCAUUGUCAAACUCUCUCUCUCUCUCUCUCUCUCUCUCUAUAUAUAUAUAUAUAUAUAUAUAUAUAUAUAUAUAUAAAAGCGUAUAGAAAUUCCGACAAUAACAGACGGGAUCCAAAAAGGAAUAAAAUAAUAUUCCCUACGAAUAGUUAUGAUUAAUUUAUUAAAAAUAUCUCAAAUAAAAAUUAACGGUUAUGAUCAAUCUAUUAAAUAUAAAAUAAUAUUUCCUACGAAUGAUUAUAAUUAAUUUGUUAAAAAUAUGUUAAAUAAAAACGAACGGUUAUGAUCAAUCUAUUAAAUUUCUACUACAUAUAAAAAUCUAUUCCCUAUAAAUGGUUAUGACCAAUUUAUUAAAAAAAUAUCUCAAAUAAGAACAGUGAUAAUCAAUCUAUUAAAAAAUAGCAUUCGCAUCCAUCUAUAAAUUCAAUCCUAUGAAUGAUUAUAAUCAAUUUGUUAAAAAAUAUCUCAAAUUAAAACAAACGGUUAUGAUCAAUUUGUUAAAAAAUAGCAUUUCUAUUAAUCUAUUUUACAUUAAAAUUAAAUUUGAGUUUAAAUUAUAAAUUAAAUUUAAUUUUUAGAUAUCAAAUUUGAAUUAAUAAUUAAUUUUUUUAUUACAGUGGAUCAAAAUUAAAUUUUAAAUUUUAAAUUAAAUGUGAAUUAAAUUUUGAUGCUUUUAGUUUAAAACACAUAUUUAAAUUUGAUUCAUCAAAAAUCAAAAAGUAUAUAAAAAUGUUUGAUGUAUAUAAAUAAAAGAACACGGUAGGAUAUUAUAAAAAUUUUCUAAUAAAAUAUAACAUAUUUAUUUAUAAAUAUAAUUUUUAUUGUAAAAUUUUGGAUAUAUAUAAUGUACAAAUUUAUACUGAUUUGAAAUAAAUUAUAAUAAUUGUUACGUGCAUUUGCACGUACAUCAACAAGUAAUAUAAAAGCGAUAAAAAAUUCCGACAAUGGCAGACGGAAUCCAAAAAAAUAAAAUAAUAUUCUUACGAAUGGUUAUAAUUAAUUUUUAAAAUAUCUUAAAAUAAAGACGAACGGUUAUGAUCAAUCUAUUAAAAAAUAGCAUUCACUAUCCAUCUAUAAUUCAAUAUUAUGAAAUUAAAUCAAUUUGUUAAAAAUAUUCAAUAAAAAAAACGGUUCAAAUAAAAACAAAAGUUAUGAUCAAUUGCUAAAAUAACAUUCUAUUCAUCUAUUUACAUUAAAAUUAAAUUUAAAUUUAAUUAUAAAUAAAUUUAAUUUUUGAUAUCAAAUUGUAAUUAAUAAUUAAUUUUUUAUUACCGUGUCAAAAUUAAAUUUUAAAUUUAAAUUAAUAUGAAUUAAAUUUUGAUGCUUUUAGUUUAAAAUACAUAUUUAAAUUGUAUUCAUCAAACAUCAAAAAAUAUACAAAAAUAUUCGAUAUAUAAUAAAAGAACACGUUAGAAUAUUAUAAAUAUUUUCUAAUAAAUAUAACAUCAUUAAUUUAUAAAUAUAUUUUUAUUGUAAAAUUUUGGAUAUAUAUAAUGUACAAUAAUUAUUGUUUGAAAUAAUUAUAAUAAUUGUUACGUGCAUUUACUAGUACAUACAACUAUAUAUAUGUAUAUAUAUAAUAUAUAUAUAUAUAUUAGUAUUAUAUAAUAUAUAUAUAUAUAUAUUAUAUAUAUAUAUAUAUAUAUAAUAAUAUAUAUGUGAAUAAUAACUAAGUAUCUUGUUACUUGGUAAUGAUAACUAAUGUAUCUGAUUUUCGAGCCGAGUCCGAGCUUGGUUUGGACAUGUCCAAAUAGGCUCAAAACUUUUUCAUGCCUAAAAGUUUAAACCUGAUCUGAACCCAAAGUUAUAAUUCGAAUAUCCAAAGCCGGACCCAUACCUUUCCUUUUAUGUUCAAAUAAUUCAAAGCGAAAACAAUUUGGAGGAACUCCUCAUUCAAUGUUAUUGGGUCCCGUCUAAAUCUGCCGUUCAAUAUGGUGUUGAAAUCUAGGCCAAAAAACUAUUUGUGUAAAUUGCACAAUUGAUCCUCAAACUUUAAUUUGCUAUAAUUUCUGAAUCAAAUUUUAAAAAUUAUUGCAAUUAAAUCUCACAAUAUAAUUUAGUUGAUUAAAUGUUGACACAUCGUUGAUGUGAAAGAGAUAUAACACUUUAAUUAUUGACGCAUUAUCAAACACAAUAUUAUUGUAUUACUUUUAUAUUAGCAAUAUAUAAAUAUUUAGUCUGCUUAUUGGGUUAUAAAAUUUGAUUGCAAUAAUUAUAAAAAUUCGAGCCAAAAAUUAUAGUAAAUUAAUGUUUAAGGACCAAAAUGUCGCCCGACACAUAGCUUGAAGACCGUACAUGCAAUUUACCUAAACAGGGCCGUUUAGUUUAAUGUAAUUAUAAAUUCAGUGAAGUUAAAAAAGAUGCAUCCGGUUGAAAAUAAAGCAAUUAUAAUUACAUACAUCUUUUUGAUUGGAUAUAGCAAAAGGCGCUGUAGUUAUAUAUAUUUUAUUUAGUUGCAAGGGGUUGAAAAAUGUAUUUACGAAUUUUUAUCAUUUUAUAUAUAGAAUGAUGAGAUUACCUCUAUGUAGGGGAAAAAAUAUAUAUAUAUUUAAAAGGUUAUUAGGGAGGUAAGUUUAUUUUUGUUUAAAUUACUCUCUCCAAAUACUGGAGUUGGAACUGCGCCUAUUUUAGACAUAAUUUCAACUGCUCUAGUUGAGCCUUUUCGUACAGUCACAGCUAUAACAGUUGAAUUUAAAUGCAUCAAAAUAACUGAUGGAUUUGGAUCUACACGUAGUUAUAACUGUAAUGCAAUUGUAAUUAUAUACAAUCCAACAACCCUUAAGAUUAGACAACAUAUAAAUUAUACUAGUGUAGUAACCAGCGCGAUGCCGCGGAUAAAUAAUAGAAGAAAAUUUAAAAAAUAUUAAAGAGUAAGAAGAAAGAAGUUUGGAAAAUAAAAAUUCAAAUGUGUUUUAUUUUUUGGGUAGGGAAACGUAUGAAUUAAACUAAUCAAUAUGGUCAUUGAAAAUCGAUAACCGCCCAGAAUCAACAUUCAAAAAAAAAAAAUCUACAAAGGUCCAAUGAAGAUGGAGAUAAUAAUGUUGCGAUGAUGACGACGAUGGCGAUGAAAAUCUGAUGAAAAUUUGCAGAAUUUUGCACUCUUUUGGGCAUUGAAUGAUCAAAAUUUGCAGGCCAAAACUGCCACAUCAAUUAUGAAAUAAAAAAUAACCUCUAAAUUAAUCAAAAUAAUACAUAUAAAUCAAAUCCUUGAUUGAUACAAUCACCAUAUCAAAUAUAAUGCAAAUAAAUUAAAUUCUAAAUGAAUACGUAGUAAGAAUUCGAGAUUAAAAUAAAGAAAAGAAAAAUUAGGUUUAGGAUUUUAGUUUUCCAAACCUACCCCUCGAACCGUCCAUUAUUGCUCUCCAAUUAGCUUCCUCUAUUGAAAAAAUCAUUCGAUUACCUUCUUUUUUCAUAAAUCUGAAGAGAUCGAUAUUGAUAGAAACCCUAUAAACACUCUUUUGAUUCGGAGGGGAGGUUUGGGUCGAGUCGGAUUGGCACGAAUUAGGGCUUGGAAGACCCCCUUACUUUUCCCCAAUCUUUAGAUCUGAAAGUAGUAACUAUUUAUCUUCUCUUUUUUUAAUUUUGUAUGUUAGGAAUUGUUUGUGGGAAAAGAAAGGACUAAUUUUGAAGAGAAAACGUAUAAAUUAAAAAGCACAUUGAUUACAUGUCAUUGAAUAGAGAGGAGGGGAGUGGAAAAGGCAAGAGUAAAAAUCAAUUCAAAAAAAAAGUUAGUGAGGGUGGAGAAAAACUUGCCACGUGGCAAAAUUAUUAGAAAUUCAUAUAGAGUAAUAUAUGACUGACCAAAUUAUCUAAAUGAAGAAAAAGCUCAUUUGUGAGUUCUUUGCUCUUCCAAAAUAAUAAUAAUAAUAAUAACUUUAAGAUAUUAUUUGGCAAAAUAAUUCUCUUAAAGAUUUAUUUAGUUACACAAUUAUUUAUUUAAAAAGUUGUAUUGUAAAAUCAAUACUUUAAAAGAUUGGAUAAUCGAUUCAAAAUGGUCUGUAUUUCACACAAGUUUGAUAUGCUUUUAUUGAUAAAAUAAAAAUAAAAACAUAUGAAACCUAUAUAAACUAUGGACCAUUUUAAAUUGACUACCCAACAUUUCAAAAUUUUAAUUUUACUACUCAACCUUUUAAUUUUGUAAAAUGUGCAUGCCGUUUCUUGCAACUACAAAUUCAUUAAGGGAAUUAACUUAAAUUUUGACACAAAUCAAACAAAUUAAAAAGUUAAAUAGUGAAAUAAAAAAAAAACCGGAAGGUUCUAUAAGUUUCCGAUAAGUUUUGCAAGUUUUUUUAGCAGUAAAAUAAAAAAUAUAUAUAUAUAGAACUAAACUGCUUGGCACCAAUUUAGAUUUUCGACCCUUAGACAAAGGAAUGUGCCGUUAGGAUGAUAGUGAUUCCUUGGGGUUGAGCGGGUGGUCGUUGGUUGAAUAGUAUAAUCUAACGGAUAGAAAUGAUCAGCGGGUAGAUUUAGGGGUGUAAACGAGCCGAACAUGAGCGAGCUAGGGCCGGCUCGUGUUUGGCUCGUUUAAUAAACGAGCCGAACAUGAGCUAGCUCGUUAAAGUAUCGAGCCGAAAAAUUCGGCUCGUGUUCGGCUCGCUUAUUAACGAGCCGAACACGAGCUGGCUAACGAACAAUAAAUUAAAAAAAUUAGAUUGAAUAUAUAUAAAAAAUAAAUUUAUAAAAUCUCAUCCAUUAGAUUUUGAUCUAAUAGUUGAAACUUUACAUAUAAAUGAGUAUUUUUAUAAUUGAGUUCACCUUUAUAUUUUAUUUUGUUAAAAAUUAAAUAAUAAAAAUAUAUAUUAUAUAUAUAGUUAUUUAUUUAUAUAUAUAAAUAUAAAUUAUAUAAAUUAUAUAAAUAUAAAAUAUAUGUAUUCGAGCUGUUAUCGAGUCGAACACGAGCGAGUUGACCCUAGCUCGUGUUCGGCUCGUUUAUUAAACGAGUCGAAAAAUCAGCUCGUGUUCAGCUCGUUUACUAAACAAGCGAUUUGAUCUUGAGCUCAUCUCGAGCCGAACACGAGCUGGCUCGCGAACAGCGAGCUAAAUUGCCACCCCUAGGUAGAUCUAACGGUAAAAAAUCAAAUAGCAUCAAAUACUUAAUCGCUAUUGAUAGUAUUGUAGCCAUUGAUAGUAUAGUAGGCGGACUGUAUAUAUAUACUUAGCACUAAACAAUGCUUUGUAGUUUCCUCCCCCUUAAAAUAAAAAUAAGAAAGAAGAAUCUAUCCAAUAUCAUUAAAGGGUGAACCCCUAACCCCUUUGCUGCGUUCUCCGUGAUUUCGGGUCUCUCCCUUAACCCCUUUUCUGCGUUCUCCGCGAUUUCGGACCUCCCGCACACAGUGCUCUCUCUGAGAUGUGGGGCCCUACUCUCUCUUACCCUCUCUCAUUUUCUCUCUCUGAGAUGUGGGGCCCUAUUAUUCUUCGCACGCUAUGGUAUCCUACGAUGCCACUCUCCCUUACCCUCUCUCCUUCUCAAUGAACCCUAACCCUCUCUCCCUUUCUUUUCUCGCCGCCUCUGCAGAUUUCCCGGGAUUCCUCUGCCCCUCUCAACAAAUCCUAGGUUCGCCUAGGGUUGGUACUCCGGCGCCGCCUCUACAGAUUUCCCGGGAUUCCUCUCCCUCUCUCAACAAACCCUAGGUUCGCCUAAGGUUGGUACUCCGGCGCAUUUAAUGCCGUCGCGGGAAAGUCCCUUCCCGGCUCCCCGAAACUCCCUUCCUCUCCCCCGUAUCCCGCCGCCGUACGCCUGUAUCUACCAAAGAUCUGGCCAUUUAAUGCCGCCGCUUCGCCGGCUAGGGCUUCCUCCCCUGUCGUACGCCCUGCCUUGCCGGAGAUCGGGGCAUUUAAUGACCCGUUUCUCCGGAGAUGGUACGCCUGUAUCUACCACAAAUCUCUGCAAUUAAUGUUGCCAUGACAGUGCGCCGCUCGGCUCCGGCGUGUUCUCUUACUGUCCUCGCUCUUCCUUGGCUUUGUUCUGGUACUGGUAUGUAUAUAUAUACACCAUUGAGAGGUAAGGUGCCAUGUCCAAUUGCUUCCGAACUUCCAACUCUUACCUGCCAUCUGUAUUACUCUUCUUUUUGUCACUGCUGCCUGUGGAAAGUAGGUCGGGCUCUCUGCAAGAUCCUCUACUUACUUCUUAUAUUAUGAUGCUGCGUACCUAUGUAUAUGUUUGAAAUUCUUUUUGCUCAGAUGCUUCAAUGUCUGGUGGUGGUUUUCCAUAGGGUUCCUGUUGCCCCCGCAAUUCCAGAUCUGAUGCUUUUUUGCCUUGAGAUUCUUUUCACCUGGGUCUUGCUUGGAUUUCGAGUUUUGAAAAAAAAAACCUUCAGUUUCUUUGGUUUUUUUUUUGUUGUCGCCUUCGCGGAUCUGAUGAUUUCUUGCCUUGCGAUUUUUUUCAGUUGGGCUUUUCAGCUCUAAGCUUAUUCUAAUGAUUUUGGCAUUUCAGCUCUAAGCUGCCCGUUUGCUACAAUUCUAUUAUUUUCUCUUCUCUAAGUUACCUGUUGGCUAUUUGUGCUUUAUGUAUUGAAUGCUUCUUUGUAGAACCAGCUUUCCAUAUCAUGUAUUACUUAAAAGAUUUUGCAGAACUAACUUUAUACACCAUGUAUUACUAAAGAGAUUUAAUGUAUGGUCUCUUUUCUGCAUCUAUUGCUUAUUCUAAGUAUUGUUUUCGAGAAGUUGAUGAGGUCAGGAGAUACUUAUAUUGUCGAUAUAAUUACUUCUUUAUCUGUUUUACUAAUAAAGUUUAAUUUACAUAUUUGUUUCUAUCAUUGACAAAGAAUUCAUGCUCGGUCUAUUUUUUAAUUUUUAUUUUUUUUACCAGAUGUGCCUUUUAUCUUCGAUUUUGCUUUUUUUUCUCUUUUUUCGUUUAAAUGUUUCCCUGUUGCUUUCGGUGCUCCUUUAAGCGAGGCAAUGAUGAUAUGCUCUGUUGGAUUUGCCCCCGCAUGUUGCCUUUCCUACUGAAUUUGGCCGCAAUGGCAUGGCAUCAAAUGAACUCAUGGUAUUUGCUGUAGCCAGCCUCUAUUAUUGCGGAUUUCCUAGACACACAAUAUUCAGUUGCCUCUUUACCAAACGGAAAGAAUAAAACUGAUCCAGAUUUAUCUUACCCCUUUGCUUAGCAUGGCAUCGAAUGAUCUUAUGGUAUUUGUUGCAGCCUGCGGCUAUUCUUUCAAAUUUUUAUCUUACCCCUCACUUUAGGGGAAGAAUGAAGCUGAGCCUCGCAUUGAUUUUUUGCUCUUUGUUUGUUCCGAAUAUUAUUUUCUGGAAUUAUCGUGCCCUUUUAACUGAGCAUUGCAUGAAUUUGUUGUAUUCUUAUUCCGUUGUUUUUCUUCCUUCGCUUUGUUUUUUGCUUUCUUGGGUUUUUCCGAUUUUCGCUUUGGUUUUCUUGCUUUGAUACCUGAAUCAACAAUCCAAAUGAAAUACACAUAUAUUUUUUCCUCUUCUUUCAUUUCAGGAAUAAUUCUGUCUACUUUUUAUACUCUCGGUUAUUUACUUUCUCAUCUUUUUUUUUCGCAGAUUUAAUUUUGCCAUACUCGCUCGGAACUCUGCUGUUCACCUCCAGAUUCAGCAGGGCAGGCAAAUUGAGUAGGGAACUCAUGUGAAUCGUUUCAAUUCUGAUAUUAAUUCUCCUCUUUUCUGCAGAUUUUUUUCCGGCAUCGUCAGACUUGCUGCUCUACUGAUCAACUAUAGGUACAUAGCAAGCUACUUGCUUUUAUUCUCCUGUGUUUUUAUUCCUGCUUGGACAAUGCAAUUUUUAACUCAGUGUUCUUUACUCGCAGAUUAACUGUGUUGGGCUUCUGCUGCUUGGAAUAAGAUUAUAUUCUACCGUUCACCUCCAGUUGCUGGAUACUUUGCUGUUCACCUCCAAUUGCAAGACAAGUUGGGUAGUCCUUUUACUCUUACCUCGAUGCAAUAAUAUUUAUCAGGUUUCUUAAAGAUAAAUUAGAAGUAACUUCUAAUGUGGAACAGCCAAGAAGAAAGCGCCUUAGGUAAUUCUGCUAUACUUAUGAUAUAUAGUGCACAAGUCCAUAACUAAUAUUUUUUCAUACAUUAAACUUACAGGUUUGCAGAAGAUGGUGGCCAGGGCAGUAGCAACAUUGAAUAAAACUUUUGGACCUUCUAUAUUAUGCACUUUACUAUGCACUUUGUUAAUCCAGUGCAAAUAAUACAUAGGCAGUUGUUUUGUUAUAUUUUCAGACUUGAAUGAUCUUUAAUUUAUAUAUUUAUGAACACACACACCACACACACACACAACAACACACAAUAUUAUAUAUAUAUUAUAUAUAUAUAUAUAUAUUACUUAUAGUCAUAUACUAUAUAUAGUUGUUUAUCAUUUACUACCUGUGUUUUUAGUUGCCAAAUUCUGUUGCCGGGCACGAAGCGGCGGUACUUAAUAUAGUAUAUCUGAGUAAGGUUACUUGCUAUCGGAAUGCACGGAGCUUUCGUAAGCUUCCAGCUCCGUUUUCGAUGCUGGCAACUUUGAAUCGAUCGAUCGACUCCUAUUAAACUUGAUUCUUAAGAGUAUUUGAAGUACCUAGAAAAAUAUAAUUAUUGGAUUUUCGUAUUAUUUUAUUAGUAAACGAAGAGGAUCAAAAUCAACGGCCUGAAAAUAAAAUAUUUAUAUUCGUGAUAAUAUGACAUUAAAAUUUUAGAUCAAAGAUAUUGUCUUGUUUUAAUAGUAUAAAGAAUUUUCUAUCAAUAAUUUCCGUGAUUUGGAUAUUUCUCACCGUCAACUUGGCAAACGACGUCCUACGAUCAUUAAAUAAUUAUUGAUUUUGAGCACCCUCUCGAUAACUAGGAAAUGAUAUCGAAAAAUCAUAAAAUUUUAUUUUCUAGGUACUUCAAAUAUCAUCUAGAUAAGUUUAACGAGCGAUCGACGAUUCGAAGUGUCGACAUUCGAAACGAGCUGAAAGCACGAUAGGCUCUGUGCUCUCCAAUAGUAUAGUAGCCUUACUAUAUUAUUAUAUAUAUGUUAGGUACUAUAUAUCGGUAGCACGAGAGCGUCCGUGCUUACAAGUUAUUUUUGAUGAUGCGGCCCCAAUCGAACAAUCGGCCUCCUGUUAGACUUGAUCUCACUAUUGCAAGUAUAUUAGAAACUAAAUUUCAUAAUUUUUCAAUAUCAUUUACCUAGUCAAACAUAAUCUAAAAUUGAACGGUGAAAAUAACAUGCUCAUGAAAAUAUGAUAAAAGAUUUAAUUUAAGAUCAGAUUACUGAUCUUACUCUUCAAAUGAAAAGAUUUUUUUAUAAGAAUUAUUUCAUCGCAUUUGGAUUGUAUUUACAUCAUUAAAUCACAAAACAUCACCAAAUGGCAUUAAAAUUGUCAAUUUUGUAUCUUUGGAUCACUGUAAAUGAUGUAGAAAAAAUCUAAAUUUGGUUUCAAAUACUUUAAUAGUGGUAGAUCAAGUCUAACGGACAGCGUUGUCUAUUUGAAGCCGCAUCUAUCGAAAACAACUUAGGUAGCCGGGCGUCGUUUGGCUACGAUAGCCAUAGUUAGCCGGAUAUUAUAUAUUAUAUUUAAUUACUAUAUAUUAUCUAUAUGAUACUAUAGGUCAGCGUACUUACUAUUAUGAGUACGAUCGCCCUCGUACUCAUAAGUUGUUUUCGAUGAUAGAGCUUCCGAAUCGACGAUCCACACCGUUAAACGUUAUUUACAGCAUUUAAAACUCCUAGAAAUUAAAUUUUAUAAUUUUUCGACAUCAUUUACCUUACGAUCAGGAGGUCACAAAUUUGACAAGUUUUAACGGCCGGUAUGGGAUACUUGCUAGUUUAACGGUGUAAAGAAUCGGAAUUUGUUGAAUUUUUUGAAUUUGUUGCUUUUGUGUUUUUAGCUCUUGGAUGGAGAGAUGUAGGGUUGAGAUGGUAGUGGUAGGUGGUGGUAGGUGGAAUAGUGUUUGAUCCAAGGGGUAUUAGUAAUUGGGGAGUAGAUCCAAGGACUAGAAACUUAGAAGCACCAAUGUGUUGGUGCUUCUAAAAGUAUUCUAACUCCACUCAUAUAUAUAUAUACAUAUAGGCCAUGGCUACUAUACUAUUAUGAGUAUUGGAGCCCUUGUACUCAUAAGUUGUUUUCAAUGAUGGAGCUUCCGAAUCGAUGAUCCACUCCGUUAAAUAUAAUCUAGAGUAUUUGAAAUUUCUAGAAAAUAAAUUUCGUAAAUUUUCGAAAUCAUAAUAAAGUCCAUCAAGCGGGCAUAAAAUGAACGGUCAAAAUCGAACGACGUCCUAAAAAAGGAUGAUCGGAUCCUUCAAUUCAAGAUCGGAGUUAUUGAUCUUUAUCUAUAUAGUGAAUAGAAUUUUCUAUCAAAAGUUCAACAAAUUCUGAUUUGUUUAUACCGUUAAACUAGCAAGUAUCCCAUACCGGCCGUUAAAAAUUGUCAAAUUUGUGACCUCUUGAUCGUAAGGUAAAUGAUGUCGAAAAAUUAUAAAAUUUAAUUUCUAGAAGUUUUAAAUGCUGUAAAUAAUGUUUAACGGAGUGGAUCGUCGAUUCGGAAGCUCUAUCAUCGAAAACAACUUAUGAGUACGAGGGCGAUCGUACUCAUAAUAGUAUAGUAGCCGGACCCUAUAUAUAUAUAUAUAAUAU
RNAcentral lists this long non-coding RNA (20358 nucleotides) under Ananas comosus (pineapple). RNAcentral's name for it is "long non-coding RNA (ACOM_LNC020159)". Lineage: Eukaryota; Viridiplantae; Streptophyta; Magnoliopsida; Poales; Bromeliaceae. The record is from RNAcentral.